This 394-nucleotide ribosomal RNA is filed under the name uncultured bacterium. Its description in RNAcentral is "bacterial SSU rRNA". It matches the Rfam family "Bacterial small subunit ribosomal RNA", at positions 30 to 416 of the family's 1533-position model. The record is from RNAcentral.
AGUGAACGCUGGCGGCAGGCCUAACACAUGCAAGUCGAGCGGCAGCACGGCAAUAGCAAUAUUGUGGGUGGCGAGCGGCGGACGGGUGAGGAAUGCAUCGGGAUCUACCCUGUCGUGGGGGACAACGUAGGGAAACUUACGCUAAUACCGCAUGAUCUGGAGACAGCAAAGCCGGGGACCCGCGAGGGCCUGGCGCGAUGGGAUGAGCCGAUGUCCGAUUAGCUAGUUGGCGGGGUAAAGGCCCACCAAGGCGACGAUCGGUAGCUGGUCUGAGAGGACGACCAGCCACACUGGAACUGAGACACGGUCCAGACUCCUACGGGAGGCAGCAGUGGGGAAUAUUGGACAAUGGGGGCAGCCCUGAUCCAGCCAUGCCGCGUGGGUGAAGAAGGCC